GUAAUGUAUCGGAACGUGCCCAGUCGUGGGGGAUAACGCAGCGAAAGCUGUGCUAAUACCGCAUACGAUCUAUGGAUGAAAGCGGGGGAUCGCAAGACCUCGCGCGAUUGGAGCGGCCGAUAUCAGAUUAGCUAGUUGGCGGGGUAAAAGCCCACCAAGGCGACGAUCUGUAGCUGGUCUGAGAGGACGACCAGCCACACUGGGACUGAGACACGGCCCAGACUCC
Molecule: ribosomal RNA, 226 nt
Filed under: uncultured bacterium
Lineage: Bacteria
Description: partial 16S ribosomal RNA
Rfam family: Bacterial small subunit ribosomal RNA
Source: RNAcentral